CCGAUGUAGCUCAGUUGGUCAGAGCAGCUGAUUUGUAAUCAGCAGGUCGUGGGUUCGACUCCCUCUAUCGG
RNAcentral lists this transfer RNA (71 nucleotides) under chicken gut metagenome. It matches the Rfam family "tRNA". Rfam says of the family: Transfer RNA (tRNA) molecules are approximately 80 nucleotides in length. The record is from RNAcentral.